AGUGAACGCUGGCGGUAGGCCUAACACAUGCAAGUCGAACGGCAGCACAGUAAGAGCUUGCUCUUACGGGUGGCGAGUGGCGGACGGGUGAGGCAUACAUCGGAAUCUACUUUUUCGUGGGGGCUAACGUAGGGAAACUUACGCUAAUACCGCAUACGACCUACGGGUGAAAGCAGGGGCUCUUCGGACCUUGCGCGAUUGAAUGCGCCGAUGUCGGAUUAGCUAGUUGGCGGGGUAAAGGCCCACCAAGGCGACGAUCCGUAGCUGGUCUGAGAGGAUGAUCAGCCACACUGGAACUGAGACACGGUCCAGACUCCUACGGGAGGCAGCAGUGGGGAAUAUUGGACAAUGGGCGCAAGCCUGAUCCAGCCAUACCGCGUGGGUGAAGAAGGCCUUCGGGUUGUAAAGCCCUUUUGUUGUGAAAGAAAAGCAGCAGGUUAAUACCCCGCUGUUCUGACGGUACCCAAAGAAUAAGCACCGGCUAACUUCGUG
RNAcentral lists this ribosomal RNA (492 nucleotides) under uncultured bacterium. Its description in RNAcentral is "partial 16S ribosomal RNA". It matches the Rfam family "Bacterial small subunit ribosomal RNA", at positions 29 to 507 of the family's 1533-position model. The record is from RNAcentral.